UGGCUUUGUAGAACUUGGACCCUCAUAUGUGGGUCUGCCUGAUCGGGGCACAGUCCCUUCCCACAGCUGCUUCCCAGAGGGCCUAGGAAACUAAAGAGUGCUGGGCAGGCCCAGGCCUCUACCCUCCCUGCGCCAUUGCCCUCCCUGGCCCACAGAAGUGAGCCUGAGGGAUACCUGGACAGCCAGGUGGCCGUGCACAGCUGUAGGGUGUUCUCUGAACUGGCAUAGCAUGCUAUAGCCUCUGCAUCACUGUCAGGUGGUGGCUUAGCGGGGCCUCAAAGAGGUGUUGUUGAUGCGUUAUUUGGCCCUGGGGUGUGUGAUGGGUCAGGUGGGCCCUUUGUACCUCCCUCUGUUCUGGAUGCUUCAGACCUCAUGUUGUCUACAUGUCCGAGCCCUUUGGGGUGGGGCUCAUCCUCCCUGCACUUGGCUUUCACACAGCUCUCCUGGAUAUCCAUGCCCCUAAUCAUUGCAUUCUUUGCUCUCUCCUCAGUGGUCGUAACCCACAAAAUCCUUCGGAAGGCCAGAGGAAACCUGGAGCUUAGGCCUGGGGGAUCCCAUCCAGGAACAUGCAGUCCCAGCAGACCAGGCUCCUGAGAAGAACUUUCAGCCAAUAAAGCUUGUGCUUCCCCCACCGA
Molecule: small RNA, 635 nt
Filed under: Pan troglodytes (chimpanzee)
Lineage: Eukaryota; Metazoa; Chordata; Mammalia; Primates; Hominidae
Description: retained intron
Source: RNAcentral